AAGGACAAUAAAGUAAGUGAGAAGUGAAGGAAGAGAAAGACGCAGAAAUCAAAACACUUGGGCGGCUUUUCUGUGAUGUGCGACGGCAGUUGAGUGCUUUCCGCUGACAAUAUUCUCUCUACCGUGUCUUCUUCACUGUUCCCUUCGGGUCCCGUGUUCCGUGCAUCCAUUAGUAUCAUAUCUCUUUUUGAUUUUAUACCUUUUUUUUUUUCUCAAAAAUGGAAUUCUAUCCCUUCAAUGGUUUUCUCUUCACUCGUUGGGUAUUGAGCUCUUCUCUUGCCCUUGUGAUUUCUGUCCUUUAUUCUUUUCUUUUCUCAUUUUUUCAGAAAAGAAAUGACAGUGUUUUGCCAAAAACCAAUCUAUUAAUAAUUGCAACUUUGAAAAAUGAGAUUAUUUUUUUAUCAAAGUAGAAAUGGAGCAAUUUAUUGCUCACAUUUAUGUCUUUUUUUCAUUUUUUUUGUCCAACAUAUCACGGCUUUCUCUGAGUACCCUACGGAGAUUGAGUGACCGCUCUUUCCAACAUGGUUGGUUAUUGGUUUUAUUGAGGAAACCUUUAUCCCUGUUCUCCCCAACCCAUUUCUAAGUUUUCUAUUUUCUAGGGUUUCACAUUGGUCGCAGAUGGUUUGAUUUUCUCAGGUUUGCUUGGUUUAAGGUUUGUUUAUUGAAAAACAUUCCAACGUUCGUGCUUUUGGAGAAAUUAAAGGGAGAGUUGAGCGUUUAUCCGACGGUUUUGCGUCAGUUUUCUAUUGCUUAAAGAUGCCAUUUUUAUAAAUCGUAAGUAUAAAUUUACUAAAGCUGCUGUUUUUAUUUAGAUUUCUGGUGUUUAUAGUGAUUUGCAGUGUACAACUGAUUCGUUGUAUGCUUUUGAGCACUGAUUUUUGUAGAAAUAGUUUGGAGAACACCAAUUGAUUUCUUCAAAGCAGCUUAUUUGUGGAGGGACAGUAGAUUUGGAGCUGAUAAUUCCAGACCUUGGUUUUUAGAUAAUUGAUUUUAUAGUUUAGGGCAUUUCCUCUUGCAGGUAUUUUGUUGAGAUCUUAUCAGAUUUUUUAAUAUCUGAUUCUGCUUUGACCAUUUUAACUUCAGGAUUGAGAUUUUUUCCCUUUUAAGAUUUGGGGAAAAGGGAUGAAAAAGAGCAAGUCUUCCCAGAUCCAUAGUAUUGUUCUAUAUUGACGAAAUUUGCUUUAUGUUAUAUGUUAGAUUUCGAGUAAAGAAUCAAUGUUGUGAGGCAUUUGCAAAUAAACUCUGGGACAUGGAUUUCUUCAAUGUAAAGAAGUUUAGAAAAGCCCACAAACCAGACCCAGAGAAGAAGGAUUUAGAGGAUAGGCCUGUGGCACAGCCAGAGGAACCAAAGAAUGAGAAUACCGGCAGUGGCGGUGAUGUUGUGAUUAACAAGUGUGCUAAUGCAGAUGCUUUAACUGAAUCUGAGGAUGAUGACGAUGAUUUUAUAACAAAUGAGGUGAAGAGGAGGUUGAAAGAACUGAGAAGAAACAGUUUUAUGGCAUUAAUACCUGAAGAAGAGCCAUGCCCUGAAGAGGAGGAAGAUGAGGAGGAGGGUGAAGGAGAGACCAACUUUAGUGAAUGGAGGGAUGUUGAAGCAGAAGGAAGGAAAUGGUGGAGUGGGUUUGAUGCUGUGUAUGACCAGUACUGCGAACGGAUGUUGUUCUUUGAUCGGAUGAUUGUGCAGCAGCUCAAAGAAAACGGUAAGUUUUGUUAUGUUUGAUCAAGUGAUUUUUUUUUUUUUUGAGAGAUUAUGUUUUGAUCAAGUUGCUUCUUGUGUUAUACUAUUUUUUCAGCUAGUUUGGUUAGAUAAUUGGUGCGUUUGGGGCAUUUUAUUUUUGACGGCAACUCUUCUUAUUUCUUUGUUUUCCUUGGUCUAACUUGUUAGGGGUUUUCUUAUGCCUACUUGCCAAGGUCAAUUUGCGCUCUAGGUAAUCAGAGCUGACUAAAUAUUGCCGAGUACCAUGUUAUUCUGAGUGGAUUUAGAGCUUACCUAUGUGAAAUUAAUCUGAAAACUAAUCAAUUAGCCUUUUGGAAAUGCAUCUUGGGUGAUUGGAUUUGUGCAAAUUGUCAAUGAAAUCACAUUUUGGAUCACUGGAGGAUCGAGUUCUGGAAUAAAAAAGUUGGUGUGCUCAUUUCUUCAAUUGCAACUUGGGUGCUCUUCAUCCAUCUCAAGUGACAUUUUAUUAGGGAACUUUCUCUUUAUUGUUCAAAAAGAUACCAUGACAAAGUUCAAACGACAGUGAAGAGGGUUGCCUAGUGGAGAGGUUGUUUUAUUGAGAUUUUGAGGUCUUGCCCAUGCUGGCGCCUUUGGAAAAUAUACAUGGAUUAUGUGCUGUUCAAUGUUACACCAAGUGAAUUUUAUUAUCUUCACUGAACAAAGUAAUUAUUAUUAAAUUUACUUAUAUAUCUUCCCUCUGGAAUCUACGUAACAUUGCUGAAAUGGUGCAAUCUGUUCUUCUUGGUUGUAGUUUUUCCAUUGUUAACUGGGUUUUAAUUGGUAAAACUUUUCUGACUUAUCUGGAUUUUAUCAUUGCCAUGGUACUAAAUGUUGAUCUUUCUUCCAGUUAGUUCUUUAAAUAGCAACACAGGCUAAAGUCAUCUUUUCAUUAAGAUCAUCUGACCUAUAUUAUUUGUUAACCACUGAGAUGUGCCAUUUUGCCAAGUGGCUGCCAAUCGAGGAUACGCUUUCAUAUAUUACAUGAUUCAUUAUAUUUAAAGAGGCAACUUUUCCUUAUUCUUUGUAGAAAAACAUUUCUUUCAUUGUGCAUUCUGAAAAAAAAAAUUCUUGUGGUUUUGAUAGGUUUAAAACCUGUAUAUAUAGCAUUUUUUUGAAAAAGAAAAUCUCUAUGGAUAAAUGAAAUUCAAGUCCUAGUUUUGUAGUUUGGGCUGGCAAAUGAGUUAUACACUAACAGCACUUUUUAUUUCCUCUAUAUGAGUUAUGAAUGUGUGACUCAGGACAAGGGAAGCAGAUGCUGCAAAGAAAGAAAGAAGAGAAAAAUUUAUGGGAGGAAUAGAGAAUCGAUGGUACAAUGGAAAUAUUUAUUAUCCUUCAUUUCUAUAGGCCUUUCAUGUGUCUUUUUUAUCCCCAUUAUAGGUUUUUAUGUUUUGGCCUGCUGGUAAAAUUCCUGCAUAGGAUUUAAAGGCUCUACAACUUUUCUUCCAAAUUUUCAAAAUUUUGUUUCUAGUCUGAGUGCUGUCCAGUGUGCAGUGACCUUGUCUAUUGUGUGACAGGCUGUCAUACUCCUUUAACUCCAUCACCAAGGUCCACGUCAAAGAAGCUAACAUCCCCCUUUCGGUGCCUUUCAUUGAAAAAGAUUGAAGAUCCUGAAGAUGAAACUGAGUGCCUGCAGCAACCACAGCAUGACCCAUAUCAAGAUCUUGAAAAGGCAUAUGUCGCUCAUGUUUGUUUAACUUGGGAGGCACUUCACUGCCAACAUACUCAACUGAUUCAGAAAAUCUUGUGCCAACCUGAAAGCCCAAUGUGUUACAACCACAGUGCUCAGCAGUUUCAGCAAUUCCAAGUUCUGUUGCAAAGAUUUAUUGAAAACGAGCCCUUUGAGCAAGGUCUCAGAGCAGAAAUUUAUGCUCGUGCAAGGAAUCUGUUACCAAAACUGCUUCAGGUUCCGAAUGGAAAAGGUUCAGAUAGAAAAGAGACAGGUGAAAUGGAAUCUGAUUUACAGGUAGUGGCCCCUGAUCUUAUCAAAAUUAUGGAGAGUUCAAUCCUUACUUUCCAUCUUUUCCUGAAGAUGGACAAGAGAAAGGCAAGCAGUGUUCUGAACUUGUUUGGAAAUCAGAAUCAAAUUGCAACCCCUCUUCAAUUGAUUCAGUCUUCACUCGAGAAGAAAAGGACGAGGUUGAAGGAGCUGUGUAAAAAGAGUAAAGGUUGGAAGAAGAAAUCGUGGCCUCAAAUGUACAAGGAUGUUGAGUUGUUGUUUGGUCUCAUAGAUGUUAAAAUCUUGUCCAGGGUUCUCAGGAUGGUGAAGAUCAGUAAAGAGCAGUUAAUAUGGUGUGAAGAAAAAAUGAAAAAACUGGCCUUAUCAGAUGGGAAGUUGCAAAGAGACCCCUCUCCCAUCCUGUUCCCUUGUUAAUAGCUGUAUGAGGAAGGAUGUAAUCAGGAUUAUGAGAUGGUUAGCUGCAGGAAUAGACUGACCCGUUCUCUUAAACCAUAAAUGUGAGAAAGGGUUCCUGUAGUGUGGCAUCUACUAAUCUGUGUACUCGUGUAGAUGAAUAGAUAGAACAAAUUGCCUGUGGAAAUGGUUCUAUCUGUUUAUCUGCACGAAGGACAUAGAUAUCCUUUUGUCAAGUUUGUUUUUGAGGAAACUAAUCUCGGUUUGGCAUCAAGGGGGAAGGAUGUUUGUAGGGGAUGUAAUCUGAUUUAUCUGUGUUUAUGAACUGAAAUUGUUUUAAACUGCUAGCAGUUUAAGAACUUUUUAUGUCUUCAACCAUAUAGACAUACAUAGUUUUGAGAUUUAAGAAGUGAUAUGUUGGUUAAUA
Molecule: unclassified non-coding RNA, 4494 nt
Filed under: Hevea brasiliensis (rubber tree)
Lineage: Eukaryota; Viridiplantae; Streptophyta; Magnoliopsida; Malpighiales; Euphorbiaceae
Source: RNAcentral